RNAcentral lists this ribosomal RNA (292 nucleotides) under uncultured Verrucomicrobiota bacterium. RNAcentral's name for it is "uncultured Verrucomicrobia bacterium partial 16S ribosomal RNA". Lineage: Bacteria; Pseudomonadati; Verrucomicrobiota. The record is from RNAcentral.
GGACUACCGGGGUUUCUAAUCCCGUUUGCUCCCCUGGCCUUCGUGCCUCAGCGUCAGUGACUGUCCAGAGAUUCGCCUUCGCCACUGGUCUUCCUCACGAUAUCUACGCAUUUCACUGCUACACCGUGAAUUCCAAUCUCCUCUCCAGUACUCGAGCGGCGCAGUAUUGAAUGCAGUUCCGGGGUUAAGCCCCGGGAUUUCACAUCCAACUUGCACCACCGCCUACGCACCCUUUACGCCCAAUGAAUCCGAACAACGCUUGAGACCUCUGUAUUACCGCGGCUGCUGGCAC